GACGAACGCUGGCGGCGUGCUUAACACAUGCAAGUCGAACGGACAGGCCAUGCGCUUGUUGGGUGCUCGAUUGGCGAAGGCGUGAGUAACACGCGUGUAUCCCGCCCUUGACUUUGGGAUAAAUCCAGGAAAAUGGGGCUAAUACAGCGUAGGAUCUAUUGAAGCGUGGGGGGGGUUGGAAAGAUUCGGCUGUUGGGGAUGGACUAGAGGCUUAUCAGCUUGUUGGUGGGGUAGGGGCUUACAAAGGCUGUGACGGGUAGCCCGCCUGAGAGGGUGACCAGCCACCUUGGGACUGCGAUACGGCCCAGUCGCCUACGUGCGGCAGCGGUGGGGAAUCUUGCGGAGUGGGCGCACGCCAGUGGCGGAAACGCCGCGUUCGGGAUGCUGGGUUUCGGGUUGUAAACCGAUUUCGACUGAGCCGAAGACGGAGUGACGGUAAUUGGUAAAGAAGCACCGGCUAACUACGUG
This 468-nucleotide ribosomal RNA is filed under the name uncultured bacterium. RNAcentral describes it as "partial 16S ribosomal RNA". It matches the Rfam family "Bacterial small subunit ribosomal RNA", at positions 28 to 507 of the family's 1533-position model. The record is from RNAcentral.